UGGUGUAGCUCAAUAGGUAGAGCAGCUGACUUGUAAUCAGCAGGUUGUGGGUUCAAUUCCUAUCACC
RNAcentral lists this transfer RNA (67 nucleotides) under human gut metagenome. It matches the Rfam family "tRNA". Rfam says of the family: Transfer RNA (tRNA) molecules are approximately 80 nucleotides in length. The record is from RNAcentral. RNAcentral also lists the same sequence under 1 other name.